GAAAACACGUUUUUGCAAUUUUGCGGAAAAAUGCAUUUUUGGGGUUUUGGUGUGAAAAAAAAUACUUUUUAGGUUUUCGCGGACAAACGUAUUUUUGUAUGUGACAAAAAUGAUAUUAUGUUUAGGUUUGUAAUUUGUGAAUUACAUUAGAGAUAUAAUAGACAUUAUACUAUUUUGAAUGAACAAUCCCCAUUCAAAUGAUCCAAAUUGGUUUAGCUGAAUGGACUUUAAAAUUAAGCUUAAAUUUUCAAAAGUCAUCCGGAUGUUCCAUCUGAAUGAAUUGCACUUUUAGUGACUAAACAAACAAAACUCUCAUUUUCAUCUAGAUGACUCAUCCAGAUAGAAAAACAAAUUCAAACGGUACUUCUGAUUUCUUUUUAUUUUAUUUAUUCCUUUAACGUUCACUGAUUUUGUACUCUUUUGUACCUGCUCACAGUCAACGGUUAUCCAAGCGUCUACCAACAUUAACUGCUCAAUACCUUCAAACAAAUUCUGAAGGAAGAAUCUCUUUAUGAGAUGAGAGUUUUUGAUGUCACCAGAAACAACCAAAACUUCAGAUUUGUUGACAGCCCUGUUGCUAUUCGAUUCACGCAGAUACCAAAACUUGACAAGAUAGCAGAAACCAUGAACCCUCUCCACGUGGAGUUUUUCAGGUUUAGUGAUUACGAACAACUCAUAUUAUUGACUAAUACGAACACAGAUUUACCAGGUGUGUUUCGCUUUCGAUUCUUCUCAGCCAUUCCUGAGAAAUAAUUUUCAUCCCACAUGAAACUAUCAUUACUACAACUUUUUGGUUUCAGAUAUUGUUGGUGAAGUGAGGGAUAUUAAAACCACUUACAAUGAAGAGACCCAGAGCACUCAACGUAUUAUGCCUAAUAUAAGAAGUCACAGGGACACCACAGACCACAGUUUGUCUUAGUGUUUUUGACGGACUUGCCAUGCUUCUCUAUAAUAAAUUAGUAACGUCUAGUGUUGAGCCUGAGGUUAUUUAGUGAUGAACAUCAACCUUAAAUUAGUAGGAGGUGGACUUAUAUCCUCACACUCAUGUUCUGGUUUUCUUUUUUUUUUGUUUUUUGUUGGGCACUUUGCAACUUCUAAUUAGUUAGUUUUGUAAAGCUUGAAUGUACGCAAUAAAUUCAAAUAGAGCAAGUUUUAUGGGCUCCUCGUCACGUCGUCUGUACUUUGAGCAUCUCUCUUAGUGGAAUCUCUUUCACAUAUUAAGCCAUGCCAUUUGUUUCUUUUCCACGCCAUAUGUUUCUGAAUGAGUACAGCCAGUCAGAGUUACGUCAAAGGGUUAGGAGUUAGCGCCUCUGACACAUUCCUUAACCUAGGAUCUGUAACAUUGAGUAAGGUUGUUCCUCUACUUUUUACAAAAAUAUGGAGAUGUCAAAUAAGAUUUAAUCUAUAACAGUAUCAGAGCUUAAUGACUAUGUGCUAAAUUCACCGCCUCAGGUUAACACACUAACGUUAACUUAUGAUCCUUUAUGAUCUGUCUCUAAUGGGCCUGACUCAGCAGUGUUUGGUGCUUUUGACCCUGAGAUGACAAAAUUGACCAAUAUUUAUGCUGCAAAAUUGUCACUGGUCAUUGUAUCAGUCACCAAGUAACCCAUUAUCUCUCUGUAUAUCUUCUCAUGAUUUUUGACGUUGUUUACUUUGAUACAACACGUAGGCAUUGAUAACCCACAUGUCAGGGUCCUCCCACAAGGCCUCCAGAUAUUGUAGGCAGGACGUUCACUUUCCGCUUUAGAAAUUCAAUUUCUCUUUCAAACAUCAGUCUUUCCCUGUCUCACGCAUUUUCAGUUGUCACCAGCGCCUGGCAAUAGCUAAUUUUGCGCUCCAGUGUUCUCUGACCAGUAGAAGGUUCAAUAGUCAUGGUAUGGUUGAAGAAAACAGAGGCGAGGCAGGUCUACUACGUGCUCGACCUAUUAUUGAUCCUGAAAUGACUACGGAUGAGCCAACAGUUAUAGAGGAUGGACACUCUGUAAAGAAGACACGCAUUGAGGAAAGUCUCAAAGGAGUCUAUGACCCUCAUGUCGACUACAGCUACGCUGGAGUGUUUCUCAAAUUUAGCAUAAUAAUGAAAUAGGACUACAACUCAUUCCCACCCGUUAUGUUAGGGUCUUUGUUUUUGUGUCAAAAUUUCGUAUGUCUCAAGCAAGCUCACUUUUUACAAAUAUAUAAAUAACAACUUCUCCUAACUCAGCACAUAUACCAUUUGACAACAAAUAUAUAGAACAUUGUUUUUAUGUCAAAAUUUCGUAUGCCUCUUCACAUAUACCAUUUGACAACAAAUAUAUAGAACAUUGUCUUAAUACAUAUAUUCUUAUAUUUUUUCUAGCAGUAGUUAACAAAACACUUGGUGGAGUAAGAGAACAUAUUACAGACCAAUCUUAAAGGUUUAAACUAAGAAGAGCUAAGAAUCGCCCAACACAACCCGUCUCCAAACACUUAUUGACUUCUUCGUCUGUAUCAUUCAAACUUACUACGUCUUUUUGGUCAAAAAAAAAUAACUAUCAUUCUUAAUUAUAAGUAAUAUAUUAUCUGUAUGGUUUGUGUCUGGAAAAGGGUAAUUUUGUAUAAAUAAACCAAAUUACAUUUCAUGAAAAAACACAAUCCAAAUACAUGUUAUUAGACUAUAGCUCAAAUUCAUUGGUGAAACCUGCACAUUUCCCAUCACAUAAUCUCUGUUCUCUAGAAUUAGGGAUACUUUCCAAUGAGUACAAAUUACUAAAUAAAUAAAUAAAAUAAACUAUAGCACAAUUACCAUUUCUAAUAGUUAAUUUACAAUAUAAAAAUUAAUAUACAACACCAAAAAUUUAUAAUAAAAAUUGACAUCCCGUGCAAAGCGCGGACAAACCACUAGUAUAUAAUAAAACAGAGAGCCUAAACUAUGGAUUUUCUCUUUUUACACAGUGUAUGUUUUUUAUUUUUAACUCUUUAAAUUUGUUUUUUGGCCUAAGUUCUUUAACUUUUUAAAUUCAUAAUAACAUCUUACGAUGUUACAUCUUUCUUAAAAUAAUUUAUAAGAACUGUAUGUUUUGUGUAGUAUUGCUUUAAUAUAUGAUGCUUGAUCUUACAUCUAAAUAUCGUAUUGAUGUAUCUACUCAUUGAUAACAUAUUUGUAAACUAUGAAAUUUUAAUCCUAUGUAUGCUCUCUUUGGGGAAUAUUCAGGUCUUGGUUAUGCGUAACAUAGAUUUCUACAAUAGAACUUAAGGUUUUAACCACGCGUUAGUGGUCCGAUGGCACAAGGCGGUCCAUGGAUCUCUAAGAGACCCGAGUUCGGAUCCGCUGUUGAAUCAGAUAAAUAUAGUGCAUGGUUACUGAAGCUUUCACAUUCUCUCUCCGGGGAAAGGGGUCAUCCAACUUAAGGCUUUUAGUGUUUUAUGGGCAUUGUUAUAGGUCGAAAAAAUAAUUUUUAAGAAAAUAAGAAAAACAAGUGAGAAUAUAAAGAUACAAUAAUCUUAUUUGGUUCCGUACACCAUUUGGUUUUAAGUAUAUAAGUUUGUUGUAGAUGGUUGCCUAAAAAAGCUAUAGAUGCUAACUUUCAUGACAAGAAGAUUGUUUGAUGGUGGACAACAACAGUCAUCAAACCAUCAUCGUAACCAGAAUUAUUUCAAAUAUAUAUUCUAAGAUUACAUAUAGAUUCUAAGACACCAUACGUAAGAACUUGAUUGUAAAUUCAGUGACUGGAAAAGAAAACCAGUUUUAGUCAGUUGUGUAAUUGUGUUUAACAAUUUAUUCUUAUGAGAACACAAACAUGUAAAGAUAAAAGAGUAUUAGGAUCAUAACUAUAGCUUAGUUAACUCUUUAUUAAAAUCACAGUCUUGCUCAACAUCACAUAUAUAUAUGAUUGGAUAUUAAAAAGAGAGAAAAUUUUGAGUUUAAAUUAUUGCAAAUUUGAUAUGUAAUUUAUAUUAUAUGUAACAUAGUCAUACCCCCAGUAAACCCUCUCGUAUAUAAUAAACUAGGAUCAGCCCGUCCUAUGGGCGAGAUAUAUUUUACUUGUGAUCUAGAUUAUUAUUUUUUGUAUAAUUUUAUGGUUUGUGUUUUAAGAUUUCAUUUGCAAGAAAUGUGUGAUAAUGAUUUUUUGUCUUUUAGAAAGUUUUAGGUCAGGAGAGAUUAUAUAUUUUUCUUGUUUACAAUACUUGUUUAUGUUGUCCAAAAAAAAAAAUAGUUGUCUCUAUGUUAUAAAGUUGUGGUAUUGAUAUACGUGAGCGCUUUAAAUGGUUUUCAUGUUGUUUCAUUUUACAAAAAUUUGAGUCUAUAUUAAAAUGUACUAAUGGAGGUUAUGUUGUUUUCUAUAAUUUUAAAUUAAGUUUUGGUUUCAUAUGAAUUUAAAUAUACCUUAAAUAUACAAUGAACCGGUUACACAAAUAUAUUACGGUAGGUAAUUAAAAAUUUUGUUUUGUUUUAUUUAUUAUGAACGAACUAAAAUUAUUUGUACUAAUAUUAUUUAAUUUCCAUAACUGAAUAACUAUAUUCAAGAAAGCAAGCUACACGAAUAGAAGAAAACGUUAGAUAUGAUCAAAAUAGUCUUUUGUCUUGUUCAUUAAAAUUUUUAUGUAAGAAAUAAUUUAAUUUACAACUGUUUUUUUGUUAAUGAGCUUUAGAAUAACUGAAUUAUUGUCUCCAGUCUUAAAAACAAAGACAUAUAAAUAGGUUUUUUGGUUUGGUGAUUAAAUAGAUUUAUCAAUCUAAUUAUAUUUACAGUUUUGCAAUCGAUAAUAUAUAUAAUUUUUUUUGUUUUAGUUUGAUCAAAAUGAAACGUGUAAUGGAAAAAAGAUUCUGAACAAAAUGGUUGUGUUUUAGCAUAAAACUAUUUUUUUAUUAAUCGUCUUUAUUUUUAUCUAUAUAUCAAACGAAUGAUGGAGAAGAGUUUUCAGCACUAUCUCUUUAAUUUCAUAGCUUUCUUUUCCUUCUUCCUAAUCUUUCUCUCUUUUCUUUUUAGAUCUACUUUCUUGUGCAAAAGAACCACCGUGAAACUCAUGGUUCCACCGCAACUCCGCACAUCUUUCACCCCCACUGCCGGGCCUCUGUCCCAACUCCUUGCACCGCCACUGCCGCAACUCCUUCACCGCUGCUACCGCAACUUCUUCGUCGCUGCUGCCACAACUCCUACCUCUUUCUUUGUAUCCAGCCACCGCAACUGCUUGCACGACCACCACUACAACUCUGUUUACCACUACUUCCAUUCUGCUCACUUCUCAUCCGCUAUCACCACCGUUGCAUCAUACACCACCAAUUUUAUCAAAUUUAUUGCCAAUAGGAGAUCCGUUCUUUCCUUUUGAGUUUUUUUGUUAUUGAAUUUUUACAUUUAUUAUGCAAUGAAAUAUAUGAAGAUUUUUAAUAUUUGUUAUAAUUUAGUUAAAAUAAUUGUUUUUUGUAUAAAUAUUUUCAGUUGCCGGAAAUUAAUCGGAGGUGGAUUACUCAAAAAGUCAUCGGUACAUUCAGAUGAUUUUCCGAUGGAAAUUUUUGAUAAUAUAUGUUAUCGUAACUUACCGAGAAUUUUCCAACAAAUGGUGAUUUUCUAGACCCAAACUUCGAUGAAAUUAGGAUUGUCAAAAAAUGAUAGGAAAAACUCGUUUCCGAUAAACUUAUGUUUAAUAUGGUUGUCGCUUAUCACUUCUUUUUCUUGUAGUGAAUGAGCUUUAUUAAGCAAAACAUAAAAUCCAAUUCUAAUCGAAGCCCAUAAAUAUUGCUUACCAAAUUAAAUGAAACGAUGUGUUCUAAGGAUCGGGACACAUGACGAUUUUAAGAUACACGAAUUAGUGAACUGGAAUCUUAGGUGGACACCCUAAAAGAGAAGCAAUCUGAGUUUUAUAUAUAUAGAAGUAAAUAAGAAGGAAAGAAGAAAUAAGAAAUAAGAAGCGUGUAGGAAUGGUUAAUGUAAAAAUUAUAUAGCGUCAAGUCAAAAAGAUAUAAAUAUGUUUGUCUCCCUAUGUAUAAUGCCCACUCUACUCGUUGCUUAGCCACAUGAACUAUUUACAUUCACUAUAUGAUUGUCACUCUUAUUGUCUUAUUUUACCUUCCUUUUCUCUGCAUCUUAGUCAUAAGGCACGGUUACGAUGUGACAGAACGUUGAAAUUCGAUUAUUGUUUUAGAUGCAGUUCAAUUUUUCAUUACAACAAAAAUCUAUCGUCUGAGGGAUGGAGUAACUUUUUUUUUUGUUGAAAUGUUAAGAUGGAGUAACUUUUUUUUUUUCUCAAGUGCAACAUUCUAAUUUUUAUGGUUAUAAUAGAGUCGGAGAAGGGAGCUACGUUACCUAGUUCCGUUUUUUUCUUACCGUAAGGAUGAGGCUCGAUCGGUUCUGCAGCUUAUAAUUAUUCUGGGCUACGCAACACUUUUAACUAUAGACAUAAUAAUACAAUAUGAAAGAAAAA
RNA transcript from Brassica napus (rape), 6381 nucleotides. RefSeq lists it as uncharacterized. NCBI's taxonomy places the organism in Eukaryota, Viridiplantae, Streptophyta, Magnoliopsida, Brassicales, Brassicaceae. The record is from RefSeq and is a predicted model, not a curated record. The transcript is spliced from 3 exons.